Molecule: ribosomal RNA, 1804 nt
Filed under: Citrobacter werkmanii
Lineage: Bacteria; Pseudomonadati; Pseudomonadota; Gammaproteobacteria; Enterobacterales; Enterobacteriaceae
Description: 23S ribosomal RNA
Rfam family: Bacterial large subunit ribosomal RNA
Source: RNAcentral
GUGAACUCGAAGAGUAGGGCGGGACACGUGGUAUCCUGUCUGAAUAUGGGGGGACCAUCCUCCAAGGCUAAAUACUCCUGACUGACCGAUAGUGAACCAGUACCGUGAGGGAAAGGCGAAAAGAACCCCGGCGAGGGGAGUGAAAAAGAACCUGAAACCGUGUACGUACAAGCAGUGGGAGCACCUUCGGGUGUGACUGCGUACCUUUUGUAUAAUGGGUCAGCGACUUAUAUUCUGUAGCAAGGUUAACCGUAUAGGGGAGCCGAAGGGAAACCGAGUCUUAACUGGGCGUUAAGUUGCAGGGUAUAGACCCGAAACCCGGUGAUCUAGCCAUGGGCAGGUUGAAGGUUGGGUAACACUAACUGGAGGACCGAACCGACUAAUGUUGAAAAAUUAGCGGAUGACUUGUGGCUGGGGGUGAAAGGCCAAUCAAACCGGGAGAUAGCUGGUUCUCCCCGAAAGCUAUUUAGGUAGCGCCUCGUGAAUUCAUCUUCGGGGGUAGAGCACUGUUUCGGCUAGGGGGUCAUCCCGACUUACCAACCCGAUGCAAACUGCGAAUACCGAAGAAUGUUAUCACGGGAGACACACGGCGGGUGCUAACGUCCGUCGUGAAGAGGGAAACAACCCAGACCGCCAGCUAAGGUCCCAAAGUCAUGGUUAAGUGGGAAACGAUGUGGGAAGGCACAGACAGCCAGGAUGUUGGCUUAGAAGCAGCCAUCAUUUAAAGAAAGCGUAAUAGCUCACUGGUCGAGUCGGCCUGCGCGGAAGAUGUAACGGGGCUAAACCAUGCACCGAAGCUGCGGCAGCGACACUAUGUGUUGUUGGGUAGGGGAGCGUUCUGUAAGCCGUUGAAGGUGGCCUGUGAGGGUUGCUGGAGGUAUCAGAAGUGCGAAUGCUGACAUAAGUAACGAUAAUGCGGGUGAAAAACCCGCACGCCGGAAGACCAAGGGUUCCUGUCCAACGUUAAUCGGGGCAGGGUGAGUCGACCCCUAAGGCGAGGCCGAAAGGCGUAGUCGAUGGGAAACAGGUUAAUAUUCCUGUACUUGGUGUUACUGCGAAGGGGGGACGGAGAAGGCUAUGUUGGCCGGGCGACGGUUGUCCCGGUUUAAGCAUGUAGGCGGAGGUUCCAGGUAAAUCCGGUACCUUUUAACGCUGAGGUGUGAUGACGAGGCACUACGGUGCUGAAGUGACAAAUGCCCUGCUUCCAGGAAAAGCCUCUAAGCAUCAGGUAACACGAAAUCGUACCCCAAACCGACACAGGUGGUCAGGUAGAGAAUACCAAGGCGCUUGAGAGAACUCGGGUGAAGGAACUAGGCAAAAUGGUGCCGUAACUUCGGGAGAAGGCACGCUGAUAGGUAGGUGAAGUGAUUUACUCAUGGAGCUGAAAUCAGUCGAAGAUACCAGCUGGCUGCAACUGUUUAUUAAAAACACAGCACUGUGCAAACACGAAAGUGGACGUAUACGGUGUGACGCCUGCCCGGUGCCGGAAGGUUAAUUGAUGGGGUUAUCCGUAAGGAGAAGCUCUUGAUCGAAGCCCCGGUAAACGGCGGCCGUAACUAUAACGGUCCUAAGGUAGCGAAAUUCCUUGUCGGGUAAGUUCCGACCUGCACGAAUGGCGUAAUGAUGGCCAGGCUGUCUCCACCCGAGACUCAGUGAAAUUGAACUCGCUGUGAAGAUGCAGUGUACCCGCGGCAAGACGGAAAGACCCCGUGAACCUUUACUAUAGCUUGACACUGAACACUGGUCCUUGAUGUGUAGGAUAGGUGGGAGGCUUUGAAGUGUGGACGCCAGUCUGCAUGGAGCC